GUCGGUCUUCUGCACUCAGACUGGAACUUACACCAGUGGCUCGCCCAGGCCUCCAGCUUGCCGACUGCUGAUUUUUGGACUUGACAGCCUCCACCUCCACAGCGGCAUGAAAAAUUCCUCAUCAUCAAUCUCUCUAUGCAUAUAUCCUAUAUAUCCUUUCGGUUCUAUUUCUCUGGGGACCCCUAGAACAACACGCAAGGUGAGAGGCCCUUGAGGAGGACUGACUGUGGCUCGCUGGUCUAAAGCUCUAAGCUGCUACUGCUGCUGACUCCAGCUCUGCAGAAGAUACAGUGGUGACAUCUCCUGGGGACCGCGCCGUCGGUGCUCCAGCUUUCAGGAAGCUCCCGCCUUGGGGUGAACAGACAGCAGGUAAAGAAGCCUCAUGCAGGGCAGCAGGGGAUACCCUGGAGAGGAAAGCGAGGCAAGAAACAGACACUGUGCCAGUGGCUCCUGAAGGGAUGCACACUCGGGGAUCUCGGAGAGGGUCCAGGCUUGGACAGCCAUGCUCCCAGACAAGAGCUUCUGCUGUGCUCCCAGAUGAGAGCCAGAGCCCCACCUGUCAGGAGGCCACACUCAUGCCCAGGACUUCUGGGCCUCGGCAGUGCUCCCAAGGGUGUGGCACCAGGUGCAGCAGGGCAGCGUUUGACUCGGAGCCCGAGACAUGUAUCUGAUACAAAUGGGGCUGUUCUGGAUGAGGGAGGGGGCACCCAGCCCCCAAGUCCGGCUCCCCAGCUCCCUGACUGCCCUGGCUCUGCUGAGCACCUUCGAGACCAUAUUGGAAGCUCUCAGCGAGGCUCCUGGACCCUGGCAUCCCCGAAACCCCCUGAGGGACCCACUUUGCCAGCUGCAUGUCUGUGUCGCACGGAGCUGUCUCCUUGCUCUGCAAGCAGGUGGAAUGCAGGAGCAGGCAGGAAAAUCCAACUCUUCCGAGUCAGACACUCGAGAGCUCUGCAGACACAAAGACAAUGCCACGCCGCCCCCUAAAUGCUUUUUGUUUUGGAAAAUACAGCUGUUUGUCAUAAGAUAACCGGAAGCAGCAGAGAAAACAUCUGAAGUGCUUCCUGGACACACUGGUUAGGAAGUUUCUGCAAGAACCCAGCCUCCCUAUCUUUGCUAAGGCAGCUCCCUCCUGCUGGAAGGUUCUUCUCGAUCGUCUCUUUUCCCAUUAAAAUCUCAUCAUCUUUCAAGACCAGUUCAAGUGCUGCCUCCUCCAAGAAGUCCUCCUGAUCACUCCUGGCAGAAGUCACCUCCUCUCUCUCUCAGAGCAUAUUCCAUCACAACAUUGCCGCCUGCAGAGUGGAAUUCUGUACGUACGGAUGGAGAAGCACUUGUUAUGCUGGGAGGUGAGAUGCUUCACGAGCUACCUGCCUGCUAAGCUUGCACGUUGUCUCCUGACUUCAAGAGCUUGUUUUAUACGCAGAACACGAGACGCCUGAUGAUGUGAACACCACUGGAAUCCUCAUUCUGCUCAGGCGGCAGGCCCGAAGAGCACAUGCAAAAGUCGGUGGCCUAAUCCUCUUGGCAUCUGUUACAGUAAACGCAUUGUCGUGGGAACACGCCAGGCCCAUUUGCCCAGGUAUCACCCACGGCUGCUUCUGCACUACAACAGCAGAGUUACACAGUCACAAAUCCUAAAAUGUUCACUGUCUGGUCCGUUCCUGACGUUUACUUGCCCCUGCCCCAAACCCGCCGCCACGCGGAGCUGAUUCCUGGGCAGCGAUAGAUGGUGUCUCUUUCACUCCUUAAUAAGACAUGAUUCCACGGGGUAGACGUCCCUCCCUGUGACCUCACUUAGCUCCCAGCUGACCCAAUCAGCUCACCUCCUCCCCUGAGGGAACCCUGCCAUUCUCAGAGGAGGGAGCAUCGUCUGACCAACAGGCUGAGGAAUGCCAGCUGUCCACGGGCUGUCAUCUGAUCCCUCACUCACAGAGGAAUCCUUUGUGGGGGUCAGAGUCAUUGAUCUUCAUAAAAACAGUCAAACUCUUGUUAUCUUGGCAGUACCUGCACCAGGCAGAAACACAACCUGCACCACAUCAGCCUUGAACGUUGUCUCCUA
This is a long non-coding RNA of Macaca mulatta (Rhesus monkey), 2056 nucleotides long. Lineage: Eukaryota; Metazoa; Chordata; Mammalia; Primates; Cercopithecidae. The record is from Ensembl.